Molecule: long non-coding RNA, 3076 nt
Filed under: Vitis vinifera (wine grape)
Lineage: Eukaryota; Viridiplantae; Streptophyta; Magnoliopsida; Vitales; Vitaceae
Description: long non-coding RNA (VVIN_LNC007713)
Source: RNAcentral
UUUCUCUAAAGUAGAAAACCUCAAGAUGACAUGAACAUGGCCCAUUCCGGGGAUAUGGUAUAUGAAUUCACCAUUCUAAAAGUACUUGUAAAAUAUUUAUCAAUUUUCUCUGAAGUAGAAAGUGAAGUUAAAGAAGCCUAGGAGUUUGCCAGAUAAGAAUAAUGGAGGAAGAGAAGCUGUGGAUGCAUUAUUGAUAUUGUUGAAUAUUGUGCCCUUAAAGAUUGAGAAGAACAGGGACAUUUUAGAGGAGUGGGGGCUUCAUGGGUUAGCGUGAAUAUGCUCUGCCACUUGAUAAAAUGGUAGUACCAUGACUAUCCCAGAAUUACUAGGAGUAUGACAUCUGACUGUGUUUUCUUGAUUGAAAAAUAGGCCAUUAAAUGUUAAAAUAAAUGAAUAAAAAGGGCAAAUCACUUCCCACCAUAGGUUGAGUCAACGUCUGAGUGUUCAUACAGCCUCAAAACCAAGUUGCAGGUAACGUACCAUAGAGUGAUAGGUGUGUUGAAUUUUGACUUAGUAUUUGCUGGAAUUUGAAUUUUGAAUAUUGCAGCUGGAGUCUUGCACAAAAUCUACAACAUCUAGAUAUUUUCUUAUUUUUAUUUGGUCAAGAUUUGGUUUCUAUUUUAUAGGAAGUAGUUGUUCAUCAUCUAGUAGCUUGAUUUUCUGCUAUUCUAAUGUCAUUUAAGUUACAAGUUCAUGUAUAAAUUCAGCAUUCUUCAUCAAUAAAAAAAGGAGUUCCAGCAGCCCAAAAAUAUAUUUUUUGUAUAAGUAUUUAAUCUUAUACCAACAAAGUGGUAUCAGAGCCAUAGUUAUCUUGAGGGGCCAGUGAGGUGAGAACCCAAACACCUUCUAAAAUCAUUUAGCAAUGGAAGAGUCAAGUUUCACAGUUGCACCAUCAGUUCUUGAUGGAGACAAUUAUGAAACUUGGGCUGUUAGAAUGACAGUUCAUCUACAAGCACUUGAUGUUUGGGAAGCAGUGGAAGAAAAUUAUGAAGUUCCUCCCCUAGGGAGCCAAUCCACCUGUGGCUCAAAUGAAGUUGCAUAAAGAAAGAAGGACAAGAAAGGCUAAAGCGAAAGCUUGCUUGUUUGCUGCAGUUUCACCAUCAAUUUUCAUCAAAAUCAUGAAAAUUGAUUCAGCUGCAGAAAUUUGGGAGUAUCUCAAGGAGGAAUACAAAGGAGAUGAAAGAAUCAAGAACAUGCAGGUGAUGAACUUGAUUCGAGAAUUUGAAAUGAAGAAAAUGAGGGAGUCUGAUGCUGUUAAAGACUAUGCUGCACAACUUCUUUCAAUAGCAGACAAAGUUAGGCUGCUUGGAAAAGAAUUUUCCAAUGAGAAGAUUGUUCAAAAGAUAUUGGUUACACUUCCUGAGAAAUAUGAAGCUACAAUUUCCUCUUUGGAGAAUUCAAAAGAUCUGUCAACUAUUAGCUUGACAGAAUUAUUACAUUCCUUGGAGGCUGUGGAACAAAGAAGACUCAUGAGACAAGGAGAUACUGCAGAAGGAGCAUUUCAAGCAAGAAUGCAGAAAAAUGCAGGCCAUAAAAAUGAAAAGAUGAACAACAACAAGCCAUGCAGCAACAACCAGAAAAAUGGAGUUUUUCCACCUUGUCCCUCAUUGCAAGAAGACAAAUCAUUCUCCACAAAAAUGUUGGUGGAGACCAGAUGUGAAAUGCAACAAGUGUGGUAAACAAGGACAUGUGGAGAGGAUUUGCAAAAAUCAACAACAGGAAGAAACUAGUGCAGCAGUUGACUAUUGCCAGGAGGAGCAAUUGUUUGCAGCAACAUGUUUUGCUAAUAAAAGCACCUCUGAAAGCUGGCUUGUGGAUAGUGGUUGUACAAAUCACAUGACAAAUAAUCAAGAUCUCUUUAGAGAACUUGACAGAACAACUAUUUCCAAAGUCAGAAUUGGAAAUGGUGAGUAUAUUCCAGUGAAGGGCAAAGGAACCGUUGCAAUCGAAAGCCAAACAGGUUUGAAACUCAUUUAUGAUGUUUUGUUUGUGCCUGACAUUGACCAAAACUUACUCAGUGUUGGACAGCUCGUUGAGAAAGAAUUUAAAGUUUAUUUUGAAGAUAGGAAUUGCAUUAUCAAGGAUGCUGAAGGCAAAGAGGUGUUCAACAUAAAAAUGAAGGGCAAGAGUUUUGCCUUGAAUUUACUGGAAGAUGAGCAUACUGCUAUUUUACAACAAGAUAGCACAACAAUGUUUUGGGACAGAAGGGUCGAGCACUUUCAUCAUGAUGAUGUGCUCUACAUGAAGAAAAAUCAAAUAGUUGAAGGACUUCCUGACUUAGAAAAAGAUCUUCCUAUAUGUGCUACUUGUCAAUAUGGGAAGCAAACUAAACUUCCCUUUCCAAAGAAAAUAUCCUGGAGAGCAACCCAAAAACUGCAACUGGUGCAUACUGAUGUUGGUGGAUCUCAAAAAAUGCCAUCCUUGAAAUGGAAUGCAAACAAUGUUUGGUGGAUCUCAAAAAAUGCCAUCCUUGAAAUGGAAUGCAAACAAUUUUGGGCUAAAACUGCAAGUAGAGCAGUAUAUUUUCUGAACAUAUUGCCAACAAAAGUGUUAAAGAAGCAGACCCCUUUCGAAGUUUGGUUUGAGUAUCUACGUGCAAGACUUGGAGUUUGCAUCUACGAAGUCAAGGAGGAGUGUUGAAUUUUGACUUAGUAUUUGCUGGAAUUUGAAUUUUGAAUAUUGCAGCUGGAGUCUUGCACAAAAUCUACAACAUCUAGAUAUUUUCUUAUUUUUAUUUGGUCAAGAUUUGGUUUCUAUUUUAUAGGAAGUAGUUGUUCAUCAUCUAGUAGCUUGAUUUUCUGCUAUUCUAAUGUCAUUUAAGUUACAAGUUCAUGUAUAAAUUCAGCAUUCUUCAUCAAUAAAAAAAGGAGUUCCAGCAGCCCAAAAAUAUAUUUUUUGUAUAAGUAUUUAAUCUUAUACCAACAAGGUGGAACAAAUCCAUCGACUGUGUGAAGAGGUUGCUGCUUUCUGAUCCUUUUCACCAACUCCAUCAAUAUCCAAUGCAAUUCAUCCUCUGUUUUGUUUCUUCUUUGUGGCAAAGGAUGUAUAAUCAGAAAACUAAGAGGAACACAAGCUU